GACGAACCGUGCGAACGUUGUUCGGAAUCACUGGGCAUAAAGGGCGCGUAGGCGGCUUAUCAAGUCAGGGGUGAAAUCCGGCAGCUCAACUGUCGAAGUGCCUUUGAUACUGAUGAGCUCGAGGGAGGUAGGGGUCUGUGGAACUUCCGGUGGAGCGGUGAAAUGCGUUGAUAUCGGAAGGAACGCCGGUGGCGAAAGCGACGGGCUGGACCUCUUCUGACGCUGAGGCGCGAAAGCUAGGGGAGCAAACGGG
RNAcentral lists this ribosomal RNA (253 nucleotides) under uncultured bacterium. RNAcentral's name for it is "partial 16S ribosomal RNA". It matches the Rfam family "Bacterial small subunit ribosomal RNA", at positions 524 to 776 of the family's 1533-position model. The record is from RNAcentral.